CCUACGGGUGGCAGCAGUGGGGAAUAUUGCACAAUGGGGGGAACCCUGAUGCAGCUACGCCGCGUGGAUGAAGAAGCGUUUCGGCGCGUAAAGCCCUAUCGGCAGGGAAGAAGAAGGACGGUCCCUGACUCAGAAGCCCCGGCUAACUACGUGCAGGCAGCCGCGGUAAUACGUAGGGGUCAGGCGGUAUCCGGAUUUACUGUGUGGAAAGGGGGCGCAGACGGCAGCGCAAGCCAGGAGUGAAAGCCCGGGGCCCAACCCCGGGACUGCGAUUGGAACUGCGAGGCUGGAGUGCAGGAGGGGCAGGCGGAAUGUAGGGUGUAGCGGGGAAAUGCUUAGAGAUCAUACAGAACACCGAGUGCGAAGGCAGCUUACCAAUUUAUAGCUGACGUUGAGGCACGAAAGCGUGGGGAGCAAGCAGGAUUAGAUACCCUAGUAGUC
This 441-nucleotide ribosomal RNA is filed under the name uncultured bacterium. RNAcentral describes it as "partial 16S ribosomal RNA". It matches the Rfam family "Bacterial small subunit ribosomal RNA", at positions 338 to 795 of the family's 1533-position model. The record is from RNAcentral.